This 3246-nucleotide long non-coding RNA is filed under the name Marmota monax (woodchuck). Lineage: Eukaryota; Metazoa; Chordata; Mammalia; Rodentia; Sciuridae. The record is from RNAcentral.
GGAAUUUCUAAGGGAUAACACACAUCUAUCUAUCACUGUGAAAAACUAUUUGGUAAGUAUUUUUGCAGACUUUCAUUUUUAUCCUUUGCUUGUUUUAAACAUUUAAAUCUUAAUCAUGAAAGAAGUAACUUUCAUAAGUAGUAUUUUAUAAAUAUAGAAUAUAUUUUAUAAAUAUAGAGUCCAUUUAUAAAUAUAUAAUUAGACCAUCUUUUAUCUGUGUUUAUUGAUGAAAUGAAAUGCAUAUAUGUUGAUAAAAUCUAAAAUACUAUAGAUUAAAGGUUUACUGCUGCCUGGCACCUGUAUCCCAGCAGCUAAGAUGGCUGGGGAAGGAGGUUCAUGAGUUCAAAGCCAGCCUCAGCAACUUAGCAAGGUCCUGGCAACUCAGAGAGACCCUGUGUCUAAGUAAAAUAGAAUGAAAGGACUGGAGAUGUAUCUCAGUGGUUAAGUGCUUCUGGGUUCAAUCCCUGGUAAAGGAGAAAAUUUAAAAUGUUUACUGUUAUUCUUACAUUUACUUGGAUAGAACAAUAUACAAAGUAGAUUCCUGGUAUCAGUCACUGGAGUAAUGUUUUUGUGCAGGAUUUUCAUAGCUGAAGUCUGUACUUCUCAGGUACCCCCAAGUUCUACAGCUGCCUUGGCCUUGUCCAGAUAUCUUAUAAUUGGCAGCAUGUGAUGUUUCUCUUUGUAUACAUUUUAGUGUUUAAAGAACUUCUAACAAGACUGUCAGAAGAGAAGAGAAAUGGUGCCCCCCACCUUCCCAAUAUUGGUGAUAUGAAGGAGGUCAGUGGCUCCUCCAUUCCUGAUCUGCUGUAGAUGGAAAACAGGUGAUAGGACUUGAAAAAGUAAAUAAAAAAAGUAAAGCUAACACUGUUGGAGGAAGGAAUAAGCUAAAGAAGAUGCAUGACAAGACUCAGAUGAGUAUCUUCCCUCACAAACCUUAUAAGUAAGUGUCUACAAAUUUUCUGUGCAUUAUUUUAUUACUUUACUGUGAUAAAACAAUAUGCUAAGCUUGUGAUAUAAAUUUUUCACAUUAUUCUAAUAUAUCAGGAAUUUAUGGCUGAGCUGUUUUAGAAGUAAUAUUGAAACAAUCAUGUGGAUAUGUGUUCUUAAUCAUUAUUACAGAAGCUAAGAUGCUGAAUACUAAUAAAUUAGUUAGGAUGAACAUGGAAUUGUAAUGUGCAUAAAGAGUGGAGGAAAGGGUAUGGAAUAAGCAUUAUGGGAUUCAGAUUUGGUUUUCAGGUUGGUAGAGAGGAAAUAUAUGGACCGCAAGGGAAACAGGAAGAGUCAACAGACUUUAAAGUCUUCAAAGACUCCAAAAGGGUUUUGGAAAAAAUGAGAGUUAGUGAGGUGAAACAAAAAGAGGGUGUGCUAAAGAGGGCCUUUUUCUUUCUUUUCUCUAUAUUUUUAGAGGGACAUUUCAAACUUGGAUCUCACAUGUACAGUAGUUUUAGUCCCAGAGUCAUCUGAUAUGAGUAAGUAAUCAAGAAACCAUGAGAGUGCAAAGUUAGACCAUCAUGCCAGAUGUUAAAAUGUGGCUGAGAAACAUUUCCUAAGAAGACAAAUCUUAUAGGAUGUACCUGGAAUAUACUAAUAAUCAUGGCCAUUUGUGCCAGGAGUGUCCCAGUCAGCCAUGCCUUGGCCUAAAGACAUAGUCAUCAUUUGAUAUCAUAUAUUACAUCUAAUAAUUUUGGCAAAUUGUGCUUUUAUAUGAUUGAAAAAUAAAGUCCCACUGAGGUAACUGGGUAUGGUGGUACGUACAUUUAAUUUAAGCAACUUGGGAGGCUGAGGCAGGAGGAUUGCAAUUUUGAGGCCAGCCUCAUUAAUUGAUGUAGAUUUUGUCUCAGAAUAAAAUUUAAAAAGGGCCUUGGAGUGGCUCAAUGGAAGAGCAUGUCUGUGUUCAAUCCCCAAUACCACAAACAAACAACACCCAAGAAUGUGAAGAUUUCUAUCUUUCAGAGAAUGUUAAUUAAGAGUGUCUGCAUGUACAUGCACACACCCAUAUGUGCUUAAAUAGAGACUGAAUUUUGUCAUAGAUUUUCCUGUGUAUUUGGAAGAACUUACACUACAGUUUUCUUCUUUAUGAUGCCUUGGUAUUUUUUCAACUUGUUUAUAAAAUCUACUUAGAAGGCAAAUUUGCUUAUAAUCUAGUUUUUUAUUGGUAUGUUUAUUUUGUUUGAUCUUUUGAUUUGGAAGCACUGAUACUUUAAGAAAGAGAUCCUUUAUAAAUAACUUUUAUAUAUUAUUAAAUCAUGUUUAAGACUUCCCCACUGUGAUAGUUUUUUAUACAUAGAAAGGAGUUUAUAGACAUCAAUAAUAAUUGGUGAUUGUCUGGAAUCUUAAAUGUGCAAUUAGAGAAUUUUAGCAGAGUAAAAAUCAAAGUGAGUCAUUGGAGUUCCAUUGCCUUUCUGUUAUCUAGAAAAUGCCACCAUGCACCAGUCUCCUUUUAUAUGCUCUGUGUAUUUAAGAAAUAAUGUCUUUCAGGGUUUCCUUACAUUCAACUGCAUAAUAAUCCAAUUCUCCCUUAAAAUAUUGAAAGGAUAAAAUUAGGAUAGUUUAGAUUUUUUCCUGCUCAUUUUACUCACUUUCUUUAGUUCCUGCAAAUAUGACCAUGGAACUUCAUCAUUUUGAUGCAGAACCAUUAAAUGAGUGAGACAAAAUUUAUUCUUUUUAGUAUGGAUUUUCUGAAGUUCAUUCCCACCAGAAACUAGAGCUAAUACUUGCUUGAAUCUAGUUUUAGACUGAGAAACUACUAUUAUUGUAAAUGUGUUUUUCUAGUGAAAAAGACAUGCUGUAGAGACACAUUAUAUUCUUCAGAAACAACAAAGUGAACAAACUUAAUACUCUUAAGCAACCAUGGCUUUUGCAAUUUUCAAGUAAAUUAAUGACAUUCUUACACAAAUUGCACAUUUAAUGGGUUAUGGUUUAUUAUUGGCUUUAUAGCUUACAGAUUUUUAUCUUGUUGAUAAUCCACUUUUAAUUCUUUCCUCAGUGAUAUUGGGACUGGUCAGUCUCCAGAUGACUGUGUAGUAGGGCUAAGGCAGACAAGGCACAUCCCACCUACAUUGCCUGUGAGAGGAACCUUGUCCUCUAGCAAUCCUGACUUGCUGCAGUCACAUCAUUCCAUUUUAGACAUCAGUACUACUCCCGGUGAGUACCUCCACUACUUAUUUUGUUUUCACAUUGUCAUCUUUUUCCAUAUUUUUCUUUCUUUGAUACCCAGAUGCAUAGAGUGAGGAUGAGCCUUAAAUU